Molecule: non-coding RNA, 177 nt
Filed under: unclassified sequences
Description: RT-16 RNA
Rfam family: RT-16 RNA
About the family: candidate division DUSEL4 (Archaea). Nearby to self-splicing intron genes
Source: Rfam by way of RNAcentral
CCCUAGAUCCAUAUUAAAAAAUCUUGGGCUACAUGCAUAUUUACUAGCACAUUAUUUGAAUUUAUUUUAAGUUAUGAAAUACAACAGCAAUGGUUAGUAAUAAUGAUAGAACCUUGGGGAAGUUUUUGAAUGAAAGUCAGAGUUGUGGUGACUGAAACAGCAAGUAUGCUACUAGUG